RNAcentral lists this ribosomal RNA (989 nucleotides) under marine bacterium BL40_005. Its description in RNAcentral is "bacterial SSU rRNA". It matches the Rfam family "Bacterial small subunit ribosomal RNA", at positions 68 to 1065 of the family's 1533-position model. The record is from RNAcentral.
GUGAAAGCAGAGCUUGCUCUGUGGAUCAGUGGCGAACGGGUGAGUAACACGUGAGCAAUCUGCCCCUGACUCUGGGAUAAGCGCUGGAAACGGCGUCUAAUACCGGAUACGAGCUGCGAAGGCAUCUUCAGCAGCUGGAAAGAAUUUCGGUCAGGGAUGAGCUCGCGGCCUAUCAGCUUGUUGGUGAGGUAACGGCUCACCAAGGCGUCGACGGGUAGCCGGCCUGAGAGGGUGACCGGCCACACUGGGACUGAGACACGGCCCAGACUCCUACGGGAGGCAGCAGUGGGGAAUAUUGCACAAUGGGCGAAAGCCUGAUGCAGCAACGCCGCGUGAGGGACGACGGCCUUCGGGUUGUAAACCUCUUUUAGCAGGAAAGAAGCGAAAGUGACGGUACCUGCAGAAAAAGCGCCGGCUAACUACGUGCCAGCAGCCGCGGUAAUACGUAGGGCGCAAGCGUUAUCCGGAAUUAUUGGGCGUAAAGAGCUCGUAGGCGGUCUGUCGCGUCUGCUGUGAAAACCCGAGGCUCAACCUCGGGCCUGCAGUGGGUACGGGCAGACUAGAGUGCGGUAGGGGAGAUUGGAAUUCCUGGUGUAGCGGUGGAAUGCGCAGAUAUCAGGAGGAACACCGAUGGCGAAGGCAGAUCUCUGGGCCGUAACUGACGCUGAGGAGCGAAAGGGUGGGGAGCAAACAGGCUUAGAUACCCUGGUAGUCCACCCCGUAAACGUUGGGAACUAGUUGUGGGGUCCAUUCCACGGAUUCCGUGACGCAGCUAACGCAUUAAGUUCCCCGCCUGGGGGAGUACGGCCGCAAGGCUAAAACUCAAAGGAAUUGACGGGGACCCGCACAAGCGGCGGAGCAUGCGGAUUAAUUCGAUGCAACGCGAAGAACCUUACCAAGGCUUGACAUAUACGAGAACGGGCCAGAAAUGGUCAACUCUUUUGGACACUCGUAAACAGGUGGUGGCAUGGGUUGUCGUCAGCUCGUGU